ACAGCAGCAGCCGCGGGAAUACGUAGAGUGCGAGCGUUAAUCGGAAUUACUGGGCGUAAAGCGUGCGCAGGCGGUUAUAUAAGACAGAUGUGGAAUCCCCGGGCUCAACCUGGGACCUGCAUUUGUGACUGUAUAGCUAGAGUACGGUAGAGGGGGAUGGAAUUCCGCGUGUAGCAGUGAAAUGCGUAGAUAUGCGGAGGAACACCGAUGGCGAAGGCAAUCCCCUGGACCUGUACUGACGCUCAUGCACGAAAGCGUGGGGAGCAAACAGGAUUAGAUACCCGAGUAGUCCCUGUCUCUUAUAC
Molecule: ribosomal RNA, 305 nt
Filed under: uncultured bacterium
Lineage: Bacteria
Description: partial 16S ribosomal RNA
Rfam family: Bacterial small subunit ribosomal RNA
Source: RNAcentral